CUCGCCUAAUCUCGAAGUACUUGUUCUUGAGGAAAAUAGAUUUUCUUCAACCAAAUCCUGGAGCCCACCUCUGAGAGUGCCUCAUUGUUUGUUAUUCAAUCUCAAGGAAGUUGAGUUUCUUUACUUACGUAGAGAAAACCAAGAGUUUGAAGUGAUAGAAUAUUUGCUGAGAAAUGCAGAAGUUCUGAAGAAAAUGACAGUUGAUUGUCAGCAUUCACAUAUCUGGCAGAUAGCACAAGUUCCAAGGGCAUCAAAGACCUGUAUUCUUAAUCUCCUUUAAAGAUAUGCAUUAUUGGGAACGAACUUGGGCUGACUGACCCUCUGGCUGAUGAUUACAAUGCUAGAAUGGCUCGGAUGGAGUUGAUGAUGACCAAUCUGGUUGGAGUGUGGUUCAGAAUCUACAGCAACAUGUGUUGCCUCCACAACCUCCACCUUCUGCAGGAAAGGGACCUCCUUCUCCUCCUCCUCCUCCUCCACCUUAGGUACCAUUUCCUAUGGGCCAG
This is a long non-coding RNA of Rhododendron vialii, 503 nucleotides long. RefSeq lists it as uncharacterized. The record is from RefSeq and is a predicted model, not a curated record. Lineage: Eukaryota; Viridiplantae; Streptophyta; Magnoliopsida; Ericales; Ericaceae. The transcript has 3 exons.